RNAcentral lists this long non-coding RNA (352 nucleotides) under Helianthus annuus (common sunflower). RNAcentral describes it as "sRNA HanXRQr2_Chr16g0750001". The record is from RNAcentral. Lineage: Eukaryota; Viridiplantae; Streptophyta; Magnoliopsida; Asterales; Asteraceae.
GUAAAUGUCACACCUUACCCAUACCCACGCACAACCAUAAAAACCUAGUUUUCAACAAUUCGACAGACGUAUCUUUAUCAGCCAGUGCCGCCGUACACAACCCUAAUUUGUAACGAUCAUUAACAAUGUUAGAGGAAAAGAGGCGACGUGAUCUCAGGGGAACUGAAGAACGUAGAUGUUACUCGAUCAUAACAUGUUGAGAAUUCAUAGGUUAUAACAAGUAUCCCGUGCAAUCUGACUGCACAUGGGUGUGAUGCAGCUGAUGGAUUUUUAAGUGAUUGGUGGGGGCAAGACCCAAAUUCCCCGGAGAAUCUAUUGGAUGAAGAUUAUGAUCCGUCUCCAUCUACAUCCC